UAAGGAAUAUUGGUCAAUGGACGCAAGUCUGAACCAGCCAUGCCGCGUGGAGGAUGAAGGUCCUCUGGAUUGUAAACUUCUUUUAUCUGAGAAGAAACCCUUGAAUUCUUUCGAGGUUGACGGUACCAGAUGAAUAAGCACCGGCUAACUCCGUGCCAGCAGCCGCGGUAAUACGGAGGGUGCAAGCGUUAUCCGGAUUCACUGGGUUUAAAGGGUGCGUAGGUGGGCUGGUAAGUCCGUGGUGAAAUCUCCGAGCUUAACUCGGAAACUGCCGUGGAUACUAUCAGUCUUGAAUAUCGUGGAGGUAAGCGGAAUAUGUCAUGUAGCGGUGAAAUGCUUAGAUAUGACAUAGAACACCGAUAGCGGAGGCAGCUUGCUACGCGAUUAUUGACACUGAGGCACGAAAGCGUGGGGAUCAAACAG
RNAcentral lists this ribosomal RNA (423 nucleotides) under uncultured bacterium. Its description in RNAcentral is "bacterial SSU rRNA". It matches the Rfam family "Bacterial small subunit ribosomal RNA", at positions 355 to 775 of the family's 1533-position model. The record is from RNAcentral.